AGCUUUGUGCAGUGGCAGUAUCGUAGCCAAUGAGGUUUAUCCGAGGCGCGAUUAUUGCUAAUUGAAAAAGAGGCUCAAAGCAU
Molecule: small nuclear RNA, 83 nt
Filed under: Neogale vison (American mink)
Lineage: Eukaryota; Metazoa; Chordata; Mammalia; Carnivora; Mustelidae
Description: Neovison vison (American mink) U4 spliceosomal RNA (ENSNVIG00000005458.1)
Rfam family: U4 spliceosomal RNA
About the family: U4 small nuclear RNA (U4 snRNA) is a component of the major U2-dependent spliceosome. The structure of U4 snRNA from yeast and human has been reported.
Source: RNAcentral